This is a long non-coding RNA of Apis florea (little honeybee), 763 nucleotides long. NCBI's taxonomy places the organism in Eukaryota, Metazoa, Arthropoda, Insecta, Hymenoptera, Apidae. The record is from RefSeq and is a predicted model, not a curated record.
AUUUUCGCUCUGUUACAGAUAAAAUUCCAUUCUGUUUAAUAUCCGAACUAAUACUUGAUACAUUUUAUCUAUAAAUAAUAAUAAACGAUUUACCUCGUCAAGUAGAAGUUGACCGACGUAGCAUACCGAGAAGGUGCCGAUGACGCAAGUUACUUGGAAGACAACAUAAAUCACCAUAGCCAUAGCAUUGCUGUCUUCCCAUUCCUAAAAAUACAACUAAUAAUAUUUCACUGAAAUCAUCACUAUUUUCAAUAUAACGCAUCGAAUCGUUCGUUAUACCAUGAUUAUGCAGUAACCAAUUAUACAUAUAAUCAGUACUUGGAUAACAACUUCGAUAAGAUAAAUAGCGGGUACGAAUUGAUCGAGUUGAUUCAAAAAUCUGAAAUGAAGAUUUUUCGUAGAUUAAAUAACACUUUCUAAUUCGUACGAUUAAUUAUGCAUCUCUGUAUUCAUCUUCGAUACUCGCUCUUUGAUCCUCGUCUGAUACUCGACGAUCUGCACGAUCUUCUCCUGUACAACUUCUUCAUCACUGUCAUUCGUAAGAUUCAUCACCUUGUUCGUCAAAAUCUUCAGCAAGCCACACAUAUGCAAGCACAGCAUCAAACAAGCACUCUUGGUGCCGCAUAAAACUGUGUAAAUGAUAAAUCCUCCGAGGACUUGGAGAGUGAAAAUUAUCUCGUAGUUCGGGGUAGCUUGCUCGUUCAACGAACCAAAGUAACUCGGACAAGAAUGUACAGAAGGCCUGGGAUCAAGACUAUCAAUU